RNAcentral lists this non-coding RNA (159 nucleotides) under uncultured Desulfovibrio sp. Lineage: Bacteria; Pseudomonadati; Thermodesulfobacteriota; Desulfovibrionia; Desulfovibrionales; Desulfovibrionaceae. The record is from RNAcentral.
GGGUGUCCGGGCGCAGCCCGGGAGAAUUGGAAAGAUCGGUGAAAAUCCGACGCUGGCCCGCAACCGUGAGAGGGGACGAUCCCGCAAGAUGCCACUGUGAUUCGGAUCACGGGAAGGCGCGGGGGAGGAAGAACCUUGAGCCGGGAAGCCAGCCCGCCA